ACGAACGCUGGCGGCGUGCUUAACACAUGCAAGUCGAACGGUGAAGCCUUUCGGGGUGGAUCAGUGGCGAACGGGUGAGUAACACGUGGGCAAUCUGCCCUGCACUCUGGGACAAGCCCUGGAAACGGGGUCUAAUACCGGAUAUUACUCGAGGGGGCAUCUUCUCGGGUGGAAAGCUCCGGCGGUGCAGGAUGAGCCCGCGGCCUAUCAGCUUGUUGGUGGGGUGAUGGCCUACCAAGGCGACGACGGGUAGCCG
RNAcentral lists this ribosomal RNA (256 nucleotides) under Streptomyces sp. ISOM128_OTU117. RNAcentral's name for it is "partial 16S ribosomal RNA". It matches the Rfam family "Bacterial small subunit ribosomal RNA", at positions 29 to 289 of the family's 1533-position model. The record is from RNAcentral. Lineage: Bacteria; Bacillati; Actinomycetota; Actinomycetes; Kitasatosporales; Streptomycetaceae.